Molecule: transfer RNA, 76 nt
Filed under: Anaerolineae bacterium CG2_30_64_16
Lineage: Bacteria; Bacillati; Chloroflexota; Anaerolineae
Description: tRNA-Ala
Rfam family: tRNA
About the family: Transfer RNA (tRNA) molecules are approximately 80 nucleotides in length.
Source: RNAcentral
GGGGCUGUAGCUCAAUUGGGAGAGCGCUUGAAUGGCAUUCAAGAGGCAAGGGGUUCGAAUCCCCUCAGCUCCACUA